Molecule: non-coding RNA, 201 nt
Organism: Pelobates cultripes (western spadefoot toad)
Lineage: Eukaryota; Metazoa; Chordata; Amphibia; Anura; Pelobatidae
Source: the annotation of a GenBank genome assembly
AGAAGCUCUGUGGAUUUAAAUAUUUAAUUCCCGAUCCAGCCUACUUACUAUAAUAUUCUGCUUCUCUAGAAGUCCUCAGUUCUUCUAGUCCCCGCAUCAGGACGGACAGGCCGCUCAGUGGUGUAGUUUAAGAGGAGGUGAGGCAUACAGGAUGCUGGCGGGGAAAAGCGGCGUGAAAGCUCCCCAGAUGGAGAGCUGAGC